GGCGCUUUUCCCCCAUGUUCAUCGCAUUCGUAAUGCGGGGGUCACAGGUUCGAGUCCUGUAAGCGGCACCA
Molecule: transfer RNA, 71 nt
Filed under: Sphingomonas oryzagri
Lineage: Bacteria; Pseudomonadati; Pseudomonadota; Alphaproteobacteria; Sphingomonadales; Sphingomonadaceae
Description: tRNA-Ser
Rfam family: tRNA
About the family: Transfer RNA (tRNA) molecules are approximately 80 nucleotides in length. Their secondary structure includes four short double-helical elements and three loops (D, anti-codon, and T loops).
Source: RNAcentral